Non-coding RNA from Anguilla anguilla (European eel), 3306 nucleotides. The record is from the annotation of a RefSeq genome assembly. NCBI's taxonomy places the organism in Eukaryota, Metazoa, Chordata, Actinopteri, Anguilliformes, Anguillidae.
CCUGUGUUUGAACUCUCAGUCUGUUUUUACUCCUUCUAUGUUCUAUAACAUUUCAGUUUGACAGGGGUAGAGAAUAACUCUAUUUUUAUACAGAUUCUCACAUCUAUAUAAUAAUUAUUAAGAUAAGAAAAUCUGUAUCAAUGUCUCUUAUUAUAUAGAUAUAAUUUGCUGUAGUAUUUUUUUUUCCUGGAAUUGGUGAUAAAAUAAGGGAUGGAUGUUCAAAUGAAAAGAAAACAAAUCUCAGAAAUGGGUUAAAGUCGAAAGUCAUGGGCAUUGAUUGCUGAAUGUGCAGGUAAUGCAUUAUUUUCAUGUUUAAUAAUAAGACUUAAAGAAAUAUUUUGAAUAGCAAUAAUUAAAAUGAUUCAAUAUAAAUUCACAACGCCCUAUACUAAAUUAGUUGGAUUCAUUUUGGAGUAAUUAUGUGAACCCACAACAAUGCCGAUUAAUCAUAAUUUUUCAAUGCAUGUUUGAGUAAAGUCAUAUUUAAUUAACAUUUUAAAACUAUAUUUUUGAAAGACAAUGAAGACGUAUUCAUUAAGAAAAACUACUAUAAUUUACAUAAUGUUUUUUGAAUCUGUAAUAUUUGUGAACUAUUUAAAACAACCAUGUCCCUGUAAAAAUAUCUGUAAAACUGUUUAGCAAAGUUUAAACUUUGUUGUUCCUAAAUUUACUGUGACUGAAAAUGACAUUUUGUUUUCAAAGUAAAUAUGAAUUAUUAUAGUUUGUGAUGUAAUCGCCUGACACUGCAGAUAAAUACAGAAGAGGUGCUCUGUGAAAGGGCAGUAGGUUUUUGUUGUGGUGUAGAUCACUGUGUAUCCGGGGGUGGCACUGUGGUUAAACGCUGUACAAAAACCUCAUCUCUCAGAAAGUGUGUUAUUUAUGUUAAACUAAAGAUGAAGAAUCUGCACAAACAGCACGGUUUUGUGUUCCUGUGUGUUGUACAUCAUACAGGUGAAUUACACAGCGAAUAUCUUCAUUUAUCAGCUAAAUUAACAAUAUCUGGAAUACAAUUGUACUGGAUACAUGCACUGAUACUCAACAAGACACAAUGUGAUAUUCAUGACUGUGUUAGUUAUUCCUCUGCUCCAGUUUGAUUAUUGACAGAAACCAUGAUGAACGAUAAUGUAUUUUAGGGGUUUAACAAAAUUUGGAGUGCUACAGAUUUUUCAAAAUGUACAUUUGAAGCCUUCCUGAGAAAGGACAGGUUUUUGUGCAGUCAGUUCCAUGAAAUACACCACUGUGAUGCACUUUACUACUGGGGUAAAGGCACUCAUGUCACUGUUACCCAAGAAGAACCGAAGGCACCAACCUCCCUCUUCCCUCUAAUGACAUGCCUGCAAGGCCCCACGGAUCAGCUGACCCUGGCCUGCAUUGCCGGCGGAUUUUUGCCUUCUUCCUCCGUGACCUUCCAGUGGAAGGACACCAGUGGAAUGCCCGUGUCUGACUUCACUCAGUACCCAGCAGUGCAGAUCAGUGGGUCUGGAUCCUACACAAGUGUCAGUCAUCUCAGUGUAAAUGCGGCACAUUGGGAUUCUAAGAAGUCCUACAGUUGUUCCGUGACCCAUUUGUCACAGGCCGGGGUAAAGGACGCCAGUUUCCAGAAACCAGUGCCCAAGUCACCAACGGUGAGCCUGCUGCUGGUACCCAGCGGCGACAGUCCCCCAGACGCCCUUAUCUGUGUCAUACGGGACUUCUACCCCAGGAGCCUGAGGGUGACCUGGAGAGUAAAUGGUAAAACCCUGACCGGAUCAUCCAACACCUGGCAAUCAGAGAAGCAAGCCUCAGGACUGUACUCAGCCAGCAGCACUGUGAAUGUGGACCGCACCAAAUGGGACAGGAAUGAAGAGUAUACGUGUGAAGUACUGCACCAGCAGAAAACCAUCGAGCAGAAAACUUCCAGAGUCCAGUCUACAGAAAAACCCUGUCUGGAGGUGACCCUGAAGCCCCCAAAGAUGAGCGAAUUGUUUGUAAAUAACCUGGUUGUGCUGGACUGCGUUAUCACUGGGGGAGAGGAGGCAGCAGUGGAGGGAGCCAGAGUUACCUGGACACCGAGUGGAAAGAGCAAAGAGAGUCAGACCACUCCGCACGGACAUGUGUUCAGGAAGACCAGCACUCUGACUCUGGAACAGGAACACUGGUCCACCAAUCAAAAGGUUGAGUGCUCUGUCCAACAGAGCAAUAAGCCAACCAUCAAAAAAUCCUUCAGCAACAGCGGGUCAAAAGUUCCCGAGGUGGUUUUAAUCACACCCAUAAAACAGGACAGCGAGUUUGUCACCCUGGUCUGUGUAGUGACGGGCUUCUCUCCCUGGGACGUGUUUGUCAUGUGGACAGUGGAUGAUGGAUCCUAUAAAGAGGGCAUCACCAGUGAGCCUGUGGAGCGCGACAAUGGCAUCUUCUCUGUCACAAGUUUGUUUAAAGUCUCGACAGCGGAUUGGAAUUCCCGGUACAAAGUCACCUGCAAUGUGAAGCACAUUUCUAUGCGCAAGGAUGCAGCCCCUAUCACAAAAUCUGUGUCCAUAACAAGUGAAACAGUAUCAGCUCUGAAUUGUAAUGAGGAAGGCGAGGAAGAAGAUGAGCUUGGCAGUCUGUGGUCCACCACCUCCUCCUUCAUCACCCUCUUCCUCUGCACUCUCAUCUACAGCACCCUCCUCACUUUGAUCAAGAUGAAGAAGUGAUGUGCUACACAUGGGAGAUGGGGUGAAAGCUUAUUUUUUGAAUGUAUUCAUAGUUACAUGUCAAAAGUGUGUCGUAUAGAAGAUUGUGUCAUGUUUUCUUGAGCUGAAUCUCUGUUUUUUCCAUUACUCCACUGUGCCUAUGUUUAGAUUUCUUUCAUUACCUAAUGAGUGAAAAUGUCUAUGAAUCCUGUUUAUACCAAUGUUUUCUGUGGACAUCAGACCCACAAUGCAGCACAUAAUUGGCUGCAGUUUAGUCCUAGGAGGAAAGGUUUUAGUUGGCAGUCCUGUACUCGACCCACUAUGCAAAAAAGAAGCACAGCUCUGGUGGAUCCCGCCUGCAAAUUUCUCCGCUACACCCAUGACUGGAACUCCAGCGCUGCUACCGUUGGAGCCGGCCUGUGUCCACUGCACAUGAAGUGCACUCUUCUGUCCCACUGAGAGCUGAGCUGCUCUGGGGCCGCAGAGUGAAAGAGGUCAGCAGAGCCGCUCUGGGGCCACAGAGUGAAAGAGCUCAGCAGAGCUGCCCUGGGGCCACAGAGUGAAAGAGCUCAGCAGAACCGCUCUGGGGGUACAGAGUGAAAGAGCUCAGCAGAGCCGCUCUGGGGGUACAGAGUGAAAGAGCUCAGCAGAG